UGUAGAUUAGUGUAAGAUGCACAUUAAUUUUUGGAAUUAGUUGAUUAAGUUUAAUUCUUAAAUUUACAA
RNAcentral lists this transfer RNA (69 nucleotides) under Idioscopus nitidulus. RNAcentral's name for it is "tRNA-Gln". Lineage: Eukaryota; Metazoa; Arthropoda; Insecta; Hemiptera; Cicadellidae. The record is from RNAcentral.